RNAcentral lists this transfer RNA (542 nucleotides) under uncultured cyanobacterium. RNAcentral describes it as "partial 16S-23S ribosomal RNA intergenic spacer". The stretch from base 212 to 284 matches the Rfam family "tRNA". The record is from RNAcentral. Lineage: Bacteria; Bacillati; Cyanobacteriota.
CAGGGAGACAACAAAAUGUUUAAUAUUAUUAUUUUGUCACCUUAGGUCGAUCGGUAUCUCACAUUCUUAAUUAGUUAAGAAUUUCAUUUCCUAAGUUUUUCUAGGUCACACCCAUUAUUUUUCCUGGGCCAUUAGCUCAGGUGGUUAGAGCGCACCCCUGAUAAGGGUGAGGUCCCUGGUUCAAGUCCAGGAUGGCCCAUAUCUCUAUGUUGGGGGUAUAGCUCAGUUGGUAGAGCGCCUGCUUUGCAAGCAGGAUGUCAGCGGUUCGAGUCCGCUUACCUCCACUGAUUACCACCUCUUCCAUAACCGGUAGAAAGGAAAUCUUUUGAGUUGUGAUCAUUAUUCUGAACGAAUCUAGCUUCCUAAUGAAAUCAUUAAGAUGCUGGACUCAUUGAAUCAAUUUCAUUGUUUUCAGAGAACCUUGACAACUGCAUAGAUUAUUUUUAAAGACAAUAAGCAUCUUUAAUGAUGCAGAUUUAUUAUUUGUGCGAAUGCAUUAAUAACAAUUCUAUUAAGCUGAUGCUUCAAUUUUUGAAGUUAUU